CACGGGUGAGUAACACGUAUGCAAUCCACCUGUAACAGGGGAUAACCCGGAGAAAUCCGGACUAAUACCCCAUAAUAUGGGCGCUCCGCAUGGAGAGUCCAUUAAAGAGAGCAAUCUUGGUUACAGACGAGCAUGCGCUCCAUUAGCCAGUUGGCGGGGUAACGGCCCACCAAGGCGACGAUGGAUAGGGGUUCUGAGAGGAAGGUCCCCCACAUUGGAACUGAGACACGGUCCAA
RNAcentral lists this ribosomal RNA (236 nucleotides) under uncultured bacterium. RNAcentral's name for it is "partial 16S ribosomal RNA". It matches the Rfam family "Bacterial small subunit ribosomal RNA", at positions 102 to 334 of the family's 1533-position model. The record is from RNAcentral.